This 250-nucleotide ribosomal RNA is filed under the name uncultured Chroococcidiopsis sp. RNAcentral describes it as "partial 16S ribosomal RNA". It matches the Rfam family "Bacterial small subunit ribosomal RNA", at positions 796 to 1044 of the family's 1533-position model. The record is from RNAcentral. Lineage: Bacteria; Bacillati; Cyanobacteriota; Cyanophyceae; Chroococcidiopsidales; Chroococcidiopsidaceae.
CUAGCUGUAAACGAUGGAUACUAGGCGUUGAGAGUAUCGACCCUCUCAGUGUCGUAGCUAACGCGUUAAGUAUCCCGCCUGGGGAGUACGCGCGCAAGCGUGAAACUCAAAGGAAUUGACGGGGGCCCGCACAAGCGGUGGAGUAUGUGGUUUAAUUCGAUGCAACGCGAAGAACCUUACCAGGGCUUGACAUGUCCGGAACCCUGCCCAAAGGCGGGGGUGCCUACGGGAACGGGAACACAGGUGGUGC